Molecule: long non-coding RNA, 440 nt
Filed under: Zonotrichia albicollis (white-throated sparrow)
Lineage: Eukaryota; Metazoa; Chordata; Aves; Passeriformes; Passerellidae
Description: lncRNA (ENSZALG00000013081.1)
Source: RNAcentral
UUUUGGCAUUAAGCCAUUAGAAAAAGAUGACUGUUACUUAAAAAGAAAAAUGAAGACCAGGCACUACCUGAGAUCUGACAGCUUCUUGGUUUGAGUCUGAACUGUGCUCUUAGUGCAACUUAGGCCCUGCAUUUCCUCCUCACAGAAGCAUGAUCAGCCUUCAGAAUAAUUCUGGAAGAACGGUGCAGUCCUGGAAUCCCAAAAGGAAACCUCUUCUAAGAUACCCAAAGAGGAAGUUGGUUGCAUUGCUCAAUAAGAAGCCCCUUGAAAAUGACAAGCAGAAGGGAGUGACCACAUGAAUAUUUCCUGUGCUGAGCAAGCUUGUUGCAGCAAAAUAAGGGAAGCCUGACAGCAUGGCACAAAGCCUGAAACAUUUGAAGACCCAUAAAACACACUUCAAAUGAAUGCAUUUUGUAAAAUCUCAUUAGUUUUUGAGGCUU